Molecule: long non-coding RNA, 6170 nt
Organism: Centrocercus urophasianus (Greater sage-grouse)
Lineage: Eukaryota; Metazoa; Chordata; Aves; Galliformes; Phasianidae
Exons: 2
Source: RefSeq, a predicted model, not a curated record
ACGGCCGGGGAGCCCUUCGGUGUGCUCGAUUUGUGUUUCUUUGGACUAACAAAAGUGUAUUUUCCUCGGAAUUUCUGCCACCGAAUCGCCCCGUUUCCUCGGUGAGGGAGGAGAAGAGCAGGUACUUGCGUUCGGGAGAGUUUCCAGCUGCAGACACGCGUCCUGAGUUAAAGGAGAGGCGAUAAAUCCCGUGUGCUGCUGCUGGAGAGACCUCUGAAGAGAGAAACUUUUGUUUUUCAUUGCAAAUUAAAAAUUUUCUUUCUACAGAAAUCUUACAGCAACCACUGUAUCUUAUUCUUUAGAGGGUUUUCUUGCGAUUAAAAUCGAAAUCUGACGAUUUAAAGCUAUUUUGACAGUUUAAAUUGAUUUUGAAGAGGAGGAAGUAACACAAACUCCCCUCUCAGCUCUGAAUAUGGAUUAAGAACCGGUUCCUUUGGCCAUGUGUUUUACCUCCUAAAACGCUAAACUCUGUUGAAAUAGUGUCUCAUACCACCUCCUAUUACUCCUAUUAUAGAGCUGUAAACAAUUUGUUACUGCCUGUGAAUUCAUAAAGAUGUAGCUGUUUUGUUUUGUCUUCCUGAAAUUUCACUAGAGGGUAGGCAAACUUCCCCUGCUGCCUUGUGCUUUUUUCCUUUGUUUGUUUCUCAUGUGAAUUUCUGUACCAGUUAUUAAGUAAAUCGAUAUUUCUUUUUUCCAUGUUGUGUUUCUACUUCCAGUAAACAAUCUCCCAGUACCCUGUAUUACCAAACUGCAGCUUUCUAAACUAAAGCAGCCUUCUAAACUUCUGGUUAUAUUUAACGAUAUUACUUUUGUCUCUCUGGUCAGUUAAGAUGUGGACGGCCUAAUGUAGCUCUUAUGUACUUCUGCUCUUACUGCCUAGAAGUAUAAUCUUGUUGUAUUUUCUGUGAUAGUUACAAAAUUUUAAACAAAAUUACUUUAAAAAAAAAAAAACCGACAAAAACAAACAAACCUCUUACACAGACAAAAAAUUAAAUAAAGCCAGUGCAGUAUCUCCUUGUCUCUCUGUAAGGAAAAAUGAAAGAUAAAAUGAACAACAGGAAGGCCCAUUUAAUGAAAAAAGAAAAGCCCGUUUAAUUCUUUCUCCUGCAUUUUACAGUCACAGUAAGGAGGAACUGUUUUCUUGACAAGAACCACAGCUCUUUGUGAUAACCUGGGUUUCAGUUAGGGGAGUGGUAGGCCAUAGUUCAUCCCUAAGAACCAGGAAGAAUUCAAUCAAUACUGAUGUCUGGUUGGAGGUAAUGAAAUCUGUUGACAAGAAUGGAGCUCUGGAAUAAUUUUUUCAGCAUCUGUACCUGAUUAUAAAGUAUGUUAUCUGUUGACUUCAAUGGUUACUUAAGAAUGACACAAAUACUGUAAAAUCAACCUUGCCCUCCCAUUUUCUUCGACAUAACCAGAUCCAACAUGGAAUUUAAACACUGAAUUCAUGCAGAUACUAACAACCAUGAUUUCAGAUUUUAUGAACGUAUAGUUUUAAGUUAAUGCAAUCCUCUUUUCUCCUCAUUUUUUUUUUUUUAUUUAUUUACAGCCUCUAUGAUAUCAACACUAAACAUGUGUAUAAUGUGAAUAAGUUUGUUUUCCUCAAAAUCAGGCUUCAUUGAGUACAAAAGUCACAACUAAAUGAUGUGAAGAUUAAAUUAGGGAAAAAAAAAAAAUCAACAAUUUGCAUCCUAGAAGAGGAAAACACAAAGCUAAUAUAAGGUUGCAGGAAAAGUGCAUCUGAGUUCUGUGGUGCUGCAGCAGGAAGAUGAUGGAUAGAAGGGUAAAUCCAACUGGAGCUUUCAGAAUCUUGUUUGUAAAAAUUAAGUAACAUUAGAUAUGGACACAAGACUGAAAUAUAUCAGAGCGAAUGUGGAUACUGAAGAAAUAUCUUUAUGAGCUGUCGAAAGUGAAGUAAAAAAAUAAAUGUUUUUCUUAACUUGUGCCCAUAAAUCAGUGAAUAAGAUGUUGUAGUGACUUGGUUGCAUGAGCAGUGCAUAGCAGGACUUUGAGGAGAUAACGUUUAGCACCUACUGGGACAAUUCACUACAUAUCCAGGCAGAGGAGAAGUGUAGAUCACAAGUGACACGCCCAUGACAGGAAAACUGUUCCUGCCCACUCUUAUUUUGAAUUCAUAUACGUUCACUUCAGCCACCUUUAUUUGAGAAGAUUUAAAUACUCCAUCCUUCAGUUGUGGCUCCACAGAGGCCUGAUUCACGUUUACUGGUAGCUGAAAUGGAAGUGUUUACAAUGGUCACCAUCCCAAUUGGGGGAUCCCUCCACUUUUCUCCCGGCAUUUGUUACCCUCUUAUGUUCUCAAUAGAAGCAGCCAAUAAUAUAUACAGCAGCAUCUGAUCUGCAACAGUUGUGGUUUAUCACUCUGAAACCAAAGUGACUUCAGAAAUUUCAAGACACGGGGAUAAGCUCUGCCCUUUCUUUUCUAAUAGCUCUUUAGUGAAGGUAGAAAACAACUUUAGCGUGCAGAAUUGAUACUGGGAACAUGUCUUCUCCACAUGAAAGAAAAACAUGCAGGACCAACGUUUUGGAAAGCUAAGUUGCAUUUGACAGUUAGAAAAAGAGUUUUGUCCACAGUCAGAACAGGUAGGGAAGAAGGAACAGAAAUACGCAGUCAGGCAAGGCAGAAAGGUGGUGAAGGAUUAUAAAGAAGGCAAGAAUGACAGUUUCAGCUCUAGGUGAGCAAGUCUGAAAGGUAAAUAAUCUUAUUUUUGGCAUCAUAGGUGUUUCAGUCAUCAUUCAUCACAGAAAGACUUCAACAAGAAAGCACCCUAUUGACUCUGGCAUGCAUUUUGGUUUUCCCAAUGAGGAGACCAGAGGGAGGUAGACUUCCUCACUCCCAAUGAGGAGACCAGAGGGAGGUAGACUUCCUCACUCAUUAAAAGAGGAGGAGAAUGACAUCAGAAUCUCCAGAGAUACUCUUGGAGAGAGUAAUAUCUGCUACAUCUGAAUGACUUCAGUUUUUCCCACCUUCUGGGCAGUGCAGCAGAUCUCAGUACAUCACAAACCUGCACAAGAUUGCUAUCUGAACACUGCAAGUCUCUUCCCUCCAGGUGCCCAUCUCUGUCCAACUUUUGCAUUUUCGUGUUCAGGCCUCCUGGCGUAAGGAAGGAGAAUUGAGCCACGGGAUGGUGCAGCACCUGAGAGCUAUCAGACAUUCCCAUCUCUGUCUCAGGACCUGCCAGCACUUGCUCCUCAGAAAAUGAGCUUUGGGUUAUAUUUAGAUAUACGUGCAACAAAGCAAGGUAACACGGCAGUUACUCUUCUCAAGCAAUUUUGUUAGGAAGCGUUUGCAUGAGAGCUAAUCACACAAACACGGCUAAUGGCUCUACCACCAGUGUAGAAUGCUCUGAUCAGCUCUUUGCAGGCAACUGGAGGAACAGCAGUGGGUGCGCCUGAGCGGUUUGGCCCCUCUCUUUCCUCCAACAACAAUUUCCAGAGAGAUUUAGGUGAAGGUCCUUACGUGCUGCUUUCCCAUGUACAUGUUCCCCGGGUACGAGGUGCAAAUACUUCCUGCAAUGACGAUUACACUCUUAUUACAAUGUUACACCCAUGUCUAACUUGUCCUCAGUGACUUCACCCUUAUGCAAGUUACAAAUGUAAUAACUCUUGUGAACAAACCGGCCAGCACAGUUUAACAGCUUUUAACCCUUAGCUAAGCAAUUUUAAAGUGGUACCUACAGAACUACAAACUCGUUGAAGUUCUUUGCCUACAUAAUAUCAAUGUUGCUGCUGAUGUUGUUAAGAUUCCUAAAUGUAAUGAGGCCACCAAGAGCUUUUUAAGUCAGUGUACAGCUAAGCAUCUGCAAUGGGCAAGACAAGGAGGGUAGUGCAGUGGGUGACUGUCCCUGCAGAUUCAGCUUCCUGGAAUGUUGCACACUCCUCCUUGUUCUUUUUGGUUUAAGGAUGGGGCACUUAUUGAGGCCUCCCUUUAUCAUCAUCAUGCCGUGUCCUUUUGGAACUGAAAAUUUACAAAUCUAUCCAAAUAGAUACAGAUAUGGCAGUAGAAGUUUCUUUUCAUGGGGAAGGGAAAACAAGCAGCAAAAAAUCUGGAAUCAAAGGUUUUCCCUGAUGCAAUGGGGAGAAAAGAUGCACUAUGCUCCAUACCAUAGAGAACUCCCCUGCACACAUUUGACUAUUUGACACAUUUUUACUUUUUUCACAGACAGUCAAGGAAACAUCGUAUCAGCCAGCUACCAAAGAACAGAAUUAUCAUUGUCUUAAAGUACUUCGGUCUUUUAAAACUAAACUAAGGUAUUUGACAAAAUGUCUUCUGGACCACCCUGGCAUGCUUUGAAUGUAGCCACCAGCCAGAGACUGAGAAUAUCAGGCCUUGAGGCAAGCUGUCUGUGACAGGUAAACAAGAUUAACAGAAACUUGAACAAUUGUGGCUUCUCCCCAAAAUCCUUCCCACGUGGAUUGACAGUGCCUCUCUUCCACCCACAUUUAAUAUCAGUGAAUGCCACCAAGAAAAUGUGCCACCCACUGUCCCUUCAGAGCAGUCUCUCCAGCAGCACUGAAGCCAGACUGCUCUGAGCAGCAAGCAGCCCACACAGAGCAAUGCUGAGCAACCCGCUCUUCCACCCCACAACCCCCUGGCAUUUCUGCACACUUUCUGCUCUCCACCCUCUUCUACCUGUGUGCCUGUGCUCCCUGUGGUUAAGAGCUGUAAGAGCUGCACUGGUGCUAGUAGGGUACAACAUGACCCAGAUGCUCCCUCACGUCCGUCCAGAGUUGUGUUUGACAAGUCAAGGGGUGACCUUGAGACCGUACACACAUACAGAGCAGGUCCAUAGUCCAUAAGACAUGGCUUAGUGGGCAAGGUGGUGAUGGAUUGAUGGUUGGACUAGAUGAUCUUUUUCCAACCAUAAUGAUCCUCUGAUUUUGAGAUCUCUCUGGCUGGAGCCGCCCCAGGUGGCUGAUGUGACAAAACAUGGGGUGUAUUUUUUUGUCAUUUUUUUUGUCAUGCAGCCAGUGACAGUGGCACCCAAACACAAUGCAGUCUGGGCACUUGUAACCACUGAGGGCCGAAACACUGUCACAUGCUGUGGUUUACUGAGAAGUGUGGGGGUCAGUCAGGUCCUGACUCCAGAUAAGGCUUUGUGUCACCAUUCUAGAGCAGGACUAUCAUCAGGUAGCACCUGGAUGCCAGCAACAUAGGCUGGCUUUCUUCCAUUAGAAAUCAGCUAAAUGAUUUUGAAGAGGUAUUCAGUGCUAUGAUGUAGCUUAUGUUUUACAGCCUGUGCUUCCCAGCUGUGCAAGCCAUGUGCUGCUGCCAGAGGGGCACAAUCCCUGGUUAGGAGAUCACCCAGACUAAUAGGAACACCAGUAGGAAGGGCUGGAGCUCCUAUAUUCCCACAGCUAGCAAAUGAGAGCAGACGCUGAGUGCUUCUGCUGUCAGACUGUUAGGAACUCAGGAAUAGGGCAUCAUAGGCAGUUAAGGAUAUGUGCACAGGGCAUGUUUGAGGCCCAGUAUGUUGUGAUUUCCUAUAUUUUGCCUGCAACAUAGUGUAUGCACACUAGUCUGAAAAAGUCAAAUGUAUUAGGCUUAAAUCUUUUGCCUUCAUGACACAGGGCUUUUCUAGUGGGAUGUUUUGUUUUUCUUUCUGUUUUUAACACUGAAAAAGCAGUGAAAUUUUGGCUGAUUUAUACAUGAAAUGAGGAGCAGAAUAACAAGCCUCACUUGCAUACUGAGUUUAGAAGUCAGUAACACUUAACAUUUGGCCUAAAGAGCAGCAAACAGGUCCAGCAUUAAGCAGGUUGGAGCGGGAAUCAGCCAUCUCCAGCUGUAUGGAGGCAGUAAGCAAAGAAAAGCCAGCUGGGUUUUUGGAUUUACCCAAAUUACAAUAGGAGGCACCUGAAAGGAAGGGAGCAUGGUCACAACAUCACACAGCUGUUGAGAAGAGGAUCUGCUGAUCAUCGGAGUGAUUCCUAUGUUAUUGCCUGAUGCUGAGGGAGACACUUGCUCAUGCUCCUUAACUUCAGUAUUGCGUACUUGCAAGGAAUAGAGGAAGAACACAGGGCUUAAAGGUGGAACGUGAUUCUGCAGAUGGUGGCCUCAGCCUGAAGUGGGAGAAAUGAAUGGGCAAGGUGAAGAAGGCAGCCUUGAGAUUCUGCUGUCCUUUGUCAUGGAUUCUAGAUAGAGACUGAUGUUCACA